This 460-nucleotide ribosomal RNA is filed under the name uncultured bacterium. Its description in RNAcentral is "partial 16S ribosomal RNA". It matches the Rfam family "Bacterial small subunit ribosomal RNA", at positions 338 to 795 of the family's 1533-position model. The record is from RNAcentral.
CCUACGGGAGGCAGCAGUGAGGAAUAUUGGUCAAUGGGCGCGAGCCUGAACCAGCCAAGUCGCGUGAGGGAUGAAGGUUCUAUGGAUCGUAAACCUCUUUUAUAAGGGAAUAAAGUGUGGGACGUGUCCUAUUUUGUAUGUACCUUAUGAAUAAGGAUCGGCUAACUCCGUGCCAGCAGCCGCGGUAAUCCGGAGGAUCCGAGCGUUGUCCGGAUUUCUUGGGUUUAAAGGGUGCGUAGGCGGCCUUUUAAGUUAGCGGUGAAAUUCUGUGGCUCAAACAUAGAAUUGCCGUUGAAAAUGGGGGGCUUGAGUAGGUGUGAGGCAGGCGGAAUGCGUGGUGUAGCGGUGAAAUGCUUAGAUAUCACGCAGAACCCCGAUUGCGAAGGCAGCCUGCCAGGCCAUGACUGACGCUGAUGCACGAAAGCGUGGGGAUCAAACAGGAUUAGAUACCCUUGUAGUC